GGCAGCGUCAGAUGUGUAUAAGAGACAGGAGAUAGCUGGUUCUCCCCGAAAUAGCUUUAGGGCUAGCCUCGGAUUAUUCUAAUGGAGGUAAAGCACUGAAUGGGCUAGGGGCCUUACCAGGUUACCGAACCCUAUCAAACUAAGAAUGCCAUAUAGAAGAUGUCCGGGAGUCAGACUGCGAGAGAUAAGUCCCGUAGUCGAAAGGGAAACAGCCCAGACCGCCAGCUAAGGUCCCAAAGUGAUGGUUAAGUGGAAAAGGAUGUGGGUUUGCUAAGACAGCUAGGAUGUUGGCUUAGAAGCAGCCACUCAUUCAAAGAGUGCGUAAUAGCUCACUAGUCGAGUGAGCCUGCGCCGAAGAUGUACGGGGCUAAACCAUCCACCGAAGCUGCGGAAUGUCGAAUGACAUUGGUAGGGGAGCGUAGUGUAGUAGAGAGAAGCAUGACGGGAACGACAUGUGGACGAGGCAGUAGUGAGAAUGCCGGAAUGAGUAGCGAGAGUGAAGUGAGAAUCUUUACCGUCGAAAACCCAAGGUUUCCUGGGGAAGGUUCGUCCGCCCAGGGUAAGUCGGGACCUAAGCUGAGGCCGAGAGGCGUAGGUGAUGGAUAACAGGCGGAAAUUCCUGUACCGACGGUACACGUAUAAGAGAAGCGGGGACACAGGAGGAUAAGUGGAUCCGGCAGCAGGGAAAGCCGGAGUAAAGGAAGUAGAUAGAGACGUAGUGAAGUACGCGUCUUGUUUCGAAGGCCUGACGCGGAGCUCAAAUGGGAGCGAAGCCACAGAUUCCACACUGGCGAGAAAAGCCGCUAUUUAGUGUACAGUCGCCCGUACCGUAAACCGACACAGGUAGGUGAGGAGAGAAUCCUGAGACGAUCGGGAGAAGUGUUGUUAAGGAACUCGGCAAAUUAACCCCGUAAGUUAGCGAUAAGGGGAGCCUAGAGAUAGGCCGCAGAGAAAUGGCCCAAGCAACUGUUUACCAAAAACACAGGUCUCUGCUAAAUCGAAAGAUGAAGUAUAGGGGCUGACGCCUGCCCAGUGCUGGAAGGUUAAGGGGAGCUGUUAGCGCAAGCGAAGCGGUGAACUUAAGCCCCAGUGAACGGCGGCCGUAACUAUAACGGUCCUAAGGUAGCGAAAUUCCUUGUCAGGUAAGUUCUGACCCGCACGAAUGGCGUAAUGAUUUGGGAACUGUCUCAACAAGAGACCCGGCGAAAUUGUAGUAUACGUGAAGAUGCGUAUUAACCUGCGACUGGACGGAAAGACCCCGUAGAGCUUUACUGUAGCUUGGUAUUGAAUUUCGGCAAUGAAUGUACAGGAUAGGUGGGAGACUUGGAAGCCUCGGCGUCAGCUGAGGUGGAGUCACCCUUGGGAUACCACCCUUUUAUUGCUGGGGUUCUAACGGUGUGCCGUUAUCCGGGCACCGGACAUUGCCAGGUGGGCAGUUUGACUGGGGCGGUCGCCUCCCAAAAAGUAACGGAGGCGCCCAAAGGUUCCCUCAGAAUGGUUGGAAAUCAUUCGCAGAGUGCAAAGGCAGAAGGGAGCUUGACUGCGAGACAGACAUGUCGAGCAGAUACGAAAGUAGGGCUUAGUGAUCCGGCGGUAGAGUAUGGAAUUGCCGUCGCUUAACGGAUAAAAGUUACCUCGGGGAUAACAGGCUUAUUCCCCCCAAGAGUUCACAUCGACGGGGGAGUUUCUGUCUCUUAUACACAUCUCCGAGCCCACGAGACGGAGCUACAUCUCGUA
RNAcentral lists this ribosomal RNA (1737 nucleotides) under human gut metagenome. RNAcentral's name for it is "bacterial LSU rRNA". It matches the Rfam family "Bacterial large subunit ribosomal RNA", at positions 814 to 2568 of the family's 2925-position model. The record is from RNAcentral.